ACAAUGAAGAGUUUGAUCCUGGCUCAGGAUGAACGCUAGCUACAGGCUUAACACAUGCAAGUCGAGGGGCAUCAGGAAGAAAGCUUGCUUUCUUUGCUGGCGACCGGCGCACGGGUGAGUAACACGUAUCCAACCUGCCCUUUACUCGGGGAUAGCCUUUCGAAAGAAAGAUUAAUACCCGAUAGCAUAAUGAUUCCGCAUGGUUUCAUUAUUAAAGGAUUCCGGUAAAGGAUGGGGAUGCGUUCCAUUAGGUUGUUGGUGAGGUAACGGCUCACCAAGCCUUCGAUGGAUAGGGGUUCUGAGAGGAAGGUCCCCCACAUUGGAACUGAGACACGGUCCAAACUCCUACGGGAGGCAGCAGUGAGGAAUAUUGGUCAAUGGGCGCUAGCCUGAACCAGCCAAGUAGCGUGAAGGAUGAAGGCUCUAUGGGUCGUAAACUUCUUUUAUAUAAGAAUAAAGUGCAGUAUGUAUACUGUUUUGUAUGUAUUAUAUGAAUAAGGAUCGGCUAACUCCGUGCCAGCAGCCGCGGUAAUACGGAGGAUCCGAGCGUUAUCCGGAUUUAUUGGGUUUAAAGGGAGCGUAGGUGGACUGGUAAGUCAGUUGUGAAAGUUUGCGGCUCAACCGUAAAAUUGCAGUUGAUACUGUCAGUCUUGAGUACAGUAGAGGUGGGCGGAAUUCGUGGUGUAGCGGUGAAAUGCUUAGAUAUCACGAAGAACUCCGAUUGCGAAGGCAGCUCACUGGACUGCAACUGACACUGAUGCUCGAAAGUGUGGGUAUCAAACAGGAUUAGAUACCCUGGUAGUCCACACAGUAAACGAUGAAUACUCGCUGUUUGCGAUAUACAGUAAGCGGCCAAGCGAAAGCAUUAAGUAUUCCACCUGGGGAGUACGCCGGCAACGGUGAAACUCAAAGGAAUUGACGGGGGCCCGCACAAGCGGAGGAACAUGUGGUUUAAUUCGAUGAUACGCGAGGAACCUUACCCGGGCUUAAAUUGCAGUGGAAUGAUGUGGAAACAUGUCAGUGAGCAAUCACCGCUGUGAAGGUGCUGCAUGGUUGUCGUCAGCUCGUGCCGUGAGGUGUCGGCUUAAGUGCCAUAACGAGCGCAACCCUUAUCUUUAGUUACUAACAGGUUAUGCUGAGGACUCUAGAGAGACUGCCGUCGUAAGAUGUGAGGAAGGUGGGGAUGACGUCAAAUCAGCACGGCCCUUACGUCCGGGGCUACACACGUGUUACAAUGGGGGGGUACAGAAGGCAGCUAGCGGGUGACCGUAUGCUAAUCCCAAAAUCCUCUCUCAGUUCGGAUCGAAGUCUGCAACCCGACUUCGUGAAGCUGGAUUCGCUAGUAAUCGCGCAUCAGCCACGGCGCGGUGAAUACGUUCCCGGGCCUUGUACACACCGCCCGUCAAGCCAUGGGAGCCGGGGGUACCUGAAGUACGUAACCGCAAGGAUCGUCCUAGGGUAAAACUGGUGACUGGGGCUAAGUCGUAACAAGGUAGCCGUACCGGAAGGUGCGGCUGGAACACCUCCUUU
Molecule: ribosomal RNA, 1530 nt
Filed under: Bacteroides fragilis
Lineage: Bacteria; Pseudomonadati; Bacteroidota; Bacteroidia; Bacteroidales; Bacteroidaceae
Description: bacterial SSU rRNA
Rfam family: Bacterial small subunit ribosomal RNA
Source: RNAcentral